GACCAGACUCCUACGGGAGGCAGCAGUGGGGAAUAUUGGGCAAUGGACGCAAGUCUGAUCCAGCAACGCCGCGUGAAGGAAGAAGGCUUUCGGGUUGUAAACUUCUUUUAAGAGGGAAGAGUAGAAGACGGUACCUCUUGAAUAAGCCACGGCUAACUACGCGCCAGCAGCCGCGGUAAUACGUAGGUGGCAAGCGUUGUCCGUAUUUACUGGGUGUAAAGGGCGUGUAGCCGGGCCGGCAAGUCAGAUGUGAAAUCCCGAGGCUCAACCGUGGAACUGCAUUUGAAACUGUUGGUCUUGAGUAUCGGAGAGGCAGGCGGAAUUCCUAGUGUAGCGGUGAAAUGCGUAGAUAUUAGGAGGAACACCAGUGGCGAAGGCGGCCUGCUGGACGACAACUGACGGUGAGGCGCGAAAGCGUGGGGAGCAAACAGGAUUAGAUACCCGAGUA
RNAcentral lists this ribosomal RNA (448 nucleotides) under uncultured bacterium. RNAcentral describes it as "bacterial SSU rRNA". It matches the Rfam family "Bacterial small subunit ribosomal RNA", at positions 329 to 792 of the family's 1533-position model. The record is from RNAcentral.